Molecule: non-coding RNA, 72 nt
Organism: Pangasianodon gigas (Mekong giant catfish)
Lineage: Eukaryota; Metazoa; Chordata; Actinopteri; Siluriformes; Pangasiidae
Source: the annotation of a GenBank genome assembly
GAUCUUGGUGGCACUUGGUCCAAAGGCUUUCUUCAUCCCCUCAUACAUGUCACGAAUGUCUCCGCAGUCCGC